GGCGAGUUUGAUCAUGGCUCAGGACGAACGCUGGCGGCAUGCCUAACACAUGCAAGUCGAGCGAGCUGAUCCCUUUGGGGUGAAGCUAGCGGCGGACGGGUGAGUAACACGUGGGCAACCUGCCUCAUAGAGGGGAAUAGCCUCCCGAAAGGGAGAUUAAUACCGCAUAAGAUUGUAGCUUCGCAUGAAGUAGCAAUUAAAGGAGCAAUCCGCUAUGAGAUGGGCCCGCGGCGCAUUAGCUAGUUGGUGAGGUAACGGCUCACCAAGGCGACGAUGCGUAGCCGACCUGAGAGGGUGAUCGGCCACAUUGGGACUGAGACACGGCCCAGACUCCUACGGGAGGCAGCAGUGGGGAAUAUUGCACAAUGGGGGAAACCCUGAUGCAGCAAUGCCGCGUGAGUGAUGACGGCCUUCGGGUUGUAAAGCUCUGUCUUCAGGGACGAUAAUGACGGUACCUGAGGAGGAAGCCACGGCUAACUACGUGCCAGCAGCCGCGGUAAUAAGUUCCCUGUGUG
This 515-nucleotide ribosomal RNA is filed under the name uncultured bacterium. RNAcentral's name for it is "bacterial SSU rRNA". It matches the Rfam family "Bacterial small subunit ribosomal RNA", at positions 9 to 538 of the family's 1533-position model. The record is from RNAcentral.